UUUCCGUAGGUGAACCUGCGGAAGGAUCAUUACCGAGUUGGGGUCCUCUGGGCCCGAUCUCCCACCCGAUGUGAAUCGACCACUUGUUGCUUUGGCCGGUCCGUCCUCGCGGCGGCCGGCCAACAGCCCCCGAAACUUCUGUCAACCAUGGUUGUCUGAUGUGAUUUGAAAUCAAACAAAACUUUCAACAACGGAUCUCUUGGUUCUGGCAUCGAUGAAGAACGCAGC
RNAcentral lists this unclassified non-coding RNA (228 nucleotides) under uncultured fungus. RNAcentral's name for it is "sequence contains ITS1, 5.8S rRNA gene". The stretch from base 180 to 228 matches the Rfam family "5.8S ribosomal RNA", at positions 1 to 49 of the family's 154-position model. Lineage: Eukaryota; Fungi. The record is from RNAcentral.